RNAcentral lists this unclassified non-coding RNA (336 nucleotides) under soil metagenome. RNAcentral describes it as "partial contains 5.8S ribosomal RNA, internal transcribed spacer 2, and large subunit ribosomal RNA". The stretch from base 1 to 120 matches the Rfam family "5.8S ribosomal RNA", at positions 35 to 154 of the family's 154-position model. The record is from RNAcentral.
GAUGAAGAACGUAGCGAAAUGCGAUAAGUAGUGUGAAUUGCAGAAUUCAGUGAAUCAUCGAAUCUUUGAACGUACAUUGCGCCCCUUGGUAUUCCAUGGGGCAUGCCUGUUCGAGCGUCAUUUGUACCUUCAAGCUUUGCUUGGUGUUGGGUGUUUGUCUCGCCUUUGCGUGUAGACUCGCCUUAAAAUAAUUGGCAGCCGGCGUAUUGAUUUCGGAGCGCAGUACAUCUCGCGCUUUGCACUCAUAACGACAGCGUCCAAAAGUACAUUUUACACUCUUGACCUCGGAUCAGGUAGGGAUACCCGCUGAACUUAAACAUAUCAAUAAGCGGAGGA